RNAcentral lists this transfer RNA (76 nucleotides) under Rhodospirillaceae bacterium. RNAcentral's name for it is "tRNA-Thr". It matches the Rfam family "tRNA". From Rfam's summary of the family: Transfer RNA (tRNA) molecules are approximately 80 nucleotides in length. Their secondary structure includes four short double-helical elements and three loops (D, anti-codon, and T loops). Lineage: Bacteria; Pseudomonadati; Pseudomonadota; Alphaproteobacteria; Rhodospirillales; Rhodospirillaceae. The record is from RNAcentral. RNAcentral also lists the same sequence under 3 other names.
GCCGGCUUAGCUCAGUUGGUAGAGCAGUGGUUUUGUAAACCGAAGGUCGGGGGUUCAAGUCCCUCAGCCGGCACCA